Molecule: transfer RNA, 31 nt
Filed under: Syneilesis palmata
Lineage: Eukaryota; Viridiplantae; Streptophyta; Magnoliopsida; Asterales; Asteraceae
Also listed under: 201 other names
Description: partial tRNA-Cys
Source: RNAcentral
UUUUUCCCCAGUUCAAAUCCGGGUGCCGCCU